AGCAUUCAGCCGUCAAAAAGGAGUUUGCAACCUCGAAGAAAGAGAACACGAAACUGAAGAAGGACAUUGAGAAGCUGUCUAAGAAAGAGGAUGUUUUGAAUGAGCAGUUGGCAGAGUCAAAACAACAAGUUGUUGGACUGAAGGAAGAAGUUGAAAGAUUGGAAUAUGCCAACAGAGAGAAGGAGGAAAAUGCAGUCUGUCUUCUUGAACAAGGAGCAUCUACUACUAAAAACCUGCAGGAUGAACUGAGCAGCAAACAGAAACGGGCAGAAACCUUGGAUGCACAGGUCAAGAAUCUCAAGUCAGAAAUAACAGAGAAGAAUAAGAAGAUUAAGGAACUGGAGAAAGAGUUGAAGACCACCAAGGGAAAGCUCACAUCAUCAACAAAAGCCUUCUCUAAGUUAGAGGAUGAGAU
Lineus longissimus is the source of this 415-nucleotide long non-coding RNA. RefSeq lists it as uncharacterized. The transcript has 4 exons. NCBI's taxonomy places the organism in Eukaryota, Metazoa, Nemertea, Pilidiophora, Heteronemertea, Lineidae. The record is from RefSeq and is a predicted model, not a curated record.